GACGAACGCUGGCGGCGUGCUUAACACAUGCAAGUCGAACGAUGAAGCCGGAGAUUGCUCCGGUGGAUUAGUGGCGAACGGGUGAGUACCACUUGAGCAUUCUGCCUUUGACCCUGGGAUAAUUGCGGGAAACUGUAGCUAAUACCGGAUACGACACCUUGGGCCAUCCCAGGGGGUGGAAAGAAUUUGGGUCAAGGAUGGGCGAACGGCCUAUCAGCCAGUUGGGGGGGAAAGGGCCAACAAAGCCGACGACGGGUAGCCGGCUGGAGAGGGUGACCGGCCACACUGGAAUGGAGACCCGGUCCGGCCUCCUAGGGGGGGAAGCAGUGGGGAAUAUUGCACAAUGGGCGAAAGCCUGAGGCAGCAACGCCGCGGGGGGGAUGAAGGCCUUCGGGUUGUAAACCUCUUUUAGCAAGGAAGAAGCGAAAGUGACGGUACUUGCAGAAAAAGCGCCGGCUAACUAGGUGCAAGCCGCCACCGUAA
RNAcentral lists this ribosomal RNA (483 nucleotides) under uncultured bacterium. RNAcentral describes it as "partial 16S ribosomal RNA". It matches the Rfam family "Bacterial small subunit ribosomal RNA", at positions 28 to 523 of the family's 1533-position model. The record is from RNAcentral.